UGGAAAUUGAGUUUCUUAUCGCGCAAAUUCAAAGUAUCGGAGUUAUUCAAAAAUUGUAUUCAAUAACCUGCGUUUCACAGCAAGUGCAGCCGUUGCUAGUAAGUUUUGCGUGCGAGGUUCUCUGUGUGUCCGUCAACGUUUGGCUGGUGCAGUCCACUGGGAAUUACAUCUGCAUCGAUUUAUUUGGUGAAGUGCAGCCGUUGCAUACUUACAAGAUCAUUUGUAUGUCCGUCCACGUUCGCUGGUGAGGGUAUUUUCACCACUGCAGCCUUUGGUUUGGUCAAGUGGAGAAUUUGCAUACUUACAAGUCAGGAUCAUCUGUGUGUCCGUCCACCAAAUGAAAUUCAACUUAAGAUAUUGAACAUG
Long non-coding RNA from Rhagoletis pomonella (apple maggot), 366 nucleotides. RefSeq lists it as uncharacterized. Lineage: Eukaryota; Metazoa; Arthropoda; Insecta; Diptera; Tephritidae. The record is from RefSeq and is a predicted model, not a curated record. The transcript is spliced from 4 exons.